GACGAACGCUGGCGGCGUGCUUAACACAUGCAAGUCGAACGAUGACGACCGAGCUUGCUCGGUCUGAUUAGUGGCGAACGGGUGAGUAACACGUGAGCAACCUGCCCUUCACUCUGGGAUAACCUCGGGAAAUCGGGGCUAAUACCGGAUAUGAGCUCCUGUCGCAUGGCGGGUGUUGGAAAGUUUUUCGGUGAAGGAUGGGCUCGCGGCCUAUCAGUUUGUUGGUGAGGUAGUGGCUCACCAAGGCGAUGACGGGUAGCCGGCCUGAGAGGGCGACCGGCCACACUGGGACUGAGACACGGCCCAGACUCCUACGGGAGGCAGCAGUGGGGAAUAUUGCACAAUGGGCGAAAGCCUGAUGCAGCGACGCCGCGUGAGGGAUGACGGCCUUCGGGUUGUAAACCUCUUUCAGCAGGGAAGAAGCGAAAGUGACGGUACCUGUAGAAGAAGCGCCGGCUAACUACGUG
RNAcentral lists this ribosomal RNA (467 nucleotides) under uncultured bacterium. RNAcentral's name for it is "partial 16S ribosomal RNA". It matches the Rfam family "Bacterial small subunit ribosomal RNA", at positions 28 to 507 of the family's 1533-position model. The record is from RNAcentral.